UCACUUCAGGAGUGCAUAUAUUAAAAUUGGAAUGAAAUAAGAGAAGAUUAGCACGGCCCUGUGCAAAGAUGAUAUGAUAUUAACCUCAAUCGUUUAUU
Fukomys damarensis (Damara mole-rat) is the source of this 98-nucleotide small nuclear RNA. The record is from Ensembl. NCBI's taxonomy places the organism in Eukaryota, Metazoa, Chordata, Mammalia, Rodentia, Bathyergidae.